CAGGGGCCUUGGUCCUUCCAUUGAUUCAUAAGUACAACACCCUACUUCUUGGAUACAGAGCCAUCGCGGAAUGUUCGCUGGAGUGAGGCAGCGUAUGGAGCACAUGGGACAUGCAGACCCAGACCCUCACUACAUUGCCCAGGCUGGACUUGAAUUCCUGGACUCAAGUGCUCCUCCCACCUCACCCUUCCAAGAAUAUGAGACCGCAGGCAUGUUCUACCUUACUCAGCUCUUACCAAUAUCUUUUAAUGUUACAUCAAUAUUUUUAGAUAAUAAACAUUGUAUUGUUGAACA
Molecule: long non-coding RNA, 294 nt
Filed under: Homo sapiens (human)
Lineage: Eukaryota; Metazoa; Chordata; Mammalia; Primates; Hominidae
Description: HSALNT0336748
Source: RNAcentral